Peromyscus maniculatus bairdii (prairie deer mouse) is the source of this 2646-nucleotide non-coding RNA. The record is from RefSeq and is a predicted model, not a curated record. NCBI's taxonomy places the organism in Eukaryota, Metazoa, Chordata, Mammalia, Rodentia, Cricetidae.
CCAUUUAUAGUUGAAAUAUUGGUAACACCAAGGAAAGCUGUCACAAUUUGAAAAGAUAAUCCAAGACUGAUUUCCAGACACUACAUGAAAAAGGAAGGAAAAAUGCAUCCCAUGAGAAUUUUUGUGAACGAUAAUCGCCAUUUGAUGGCAAAGCAUUCUUCAGUGUUCCCAAUGCAAGAGGAGCUAGAGGCCUUACAGAAUAUGAUAUUUCACACUGAGCAGGCCCUCAAGGCUGUCUCUGACUGGAUUGAUGAGCAGGAUAAAGGCGGCAGCGAGCUCGCUGAGGCAGAAAAUAUGGAUACGCCCCCAGACGAUGAGAGCAAAGAAGGGACUGGAGUGUGACAGAAGACAAGUACAAAAUACUCCAGUCUGUGGAUGAUGCUGAGAUUGUGAUAAAAAACACAAAAGAAUCCCCAUUGUCCUUGACCAUCCACCUGACCUCCCCGUUGUCAGAGAAGAAAUAGAGUAAAUAUUAGCUGGAGAAACGCUGUCAGUCAACGACCCCCCAGACGUUCUGGACAGGCAGAAAAGCCUUGCUGCCUUGGCGUCCCUCCGACACACCAAGUGGUUCCAGGCCAGAGCCAAUGGGCUGAAGUCAUGUGUCAUUGUCAUCUGUGUCCUAAGGGACUUGUGUACCUGAGGGCCCUCCUGGGGUCCCCUCAGAGGAUGACCGCUGGAGCUGCUGUGUGAGAAGUCCAUCGGCACUGCCAAUAGGCCCAUGGGUGCUGGCGAAGCCCUGCGAAGAGUGCUGGAGUGCCUGGCCUCCGGCAUCGUCAUGCCAGAUGGUUCUGGCAUUUAUGACCCUUGUGAAAAAGAAGCCACUGAUGCUAUUGGGCAUCUAGACACACAGCAAUGGGGAGAUAUCACACAGAGUGUGCAGCAUGCUCUGUGGCUCGCUGCUUUUGGUCAACUCCAUAAAGUCCUAGGAAUGGACCCCCUGCCUUCCAAAAUGCCCAAGAAACCAAAGAACAAGAACCUAGUGGACUACACUGUUCAAAUUCCCCCCAGCACCACCUACACCAUCACACCCAUGAAACGCCCCAAUGGAAGAGGAUGGGGAGAAGUCUCCCAGCAAAAAGAAAAAGAAGAUCCAGAAGAAAGAGGAGAAGGCUGAACCUCCCCAAGCUAUGAAUGCCCUGAUGAGGCUGAACCAGCUGAAGCCAGGGCUGCAGUACAAGCUGAUCUCCCAGACAGGUCCUGUUCAUGCCCCCAUCUUCACCAUGUCUGUGGAGGUAGAUGGCAGUACCUUCGAGGCCUCAGGGCCAUCUAAAAAGACUGCCAAACUACAUGUGGCUGUAAAGGUGGUUACAGGACAUGGGCUUGCCAACAGGCGCUGAAGGCAGAGACUCCAGAAAAGGGGAGGACUCAGCCGAGGAGUCAGAUGGGAAGCCAGCCAUAGUGGCCCCAACCCCUGUGGUAGAAGCUGUCUACAACUCCAGUUCUGUCUUCCCUUCAGAUGCCACGACUGAGCAGGGGCCGAUAUUGGCUAAGCAUGGCAAGAACCCAGUUAUGGAGCUUAAUGAGAAGAGGCAUGGUCUCAAAUACGAGCUAAUUUCUGAGACUGGGGGCAGCCACGACAAACUGUUUGUUAUGGAGGUUGAAGUGGAUAGUCAGAAGUUUCAAGGUGCUGGUUCAAACAAAAAGGUGGCAAAGGCUUAUGCUGCUCUUGCUGAGUUAGAAAAGCUUUUUCUUGAUGCCCCCCUUGCCCUUGAAGCCAACAACAACAACAAAAAGAACCCCUGUACCUGUCCGAGGUGGACCCAAAUUUGCUGCCAAGCCACACAACCCUGGCUUUGGCAUGGGAGGCCCCAUGCAUAACGAGGUGUCCCCGCCUCCCAACCUUCGAGGCCUGGGUCGAGGAGGGAACAUCCGUGGGCGAGGACGAGGGCAAGGAUUUGGUGGCGCCAACCAUGGAGGAGGCUACAUAAAUACCGGAUAUGGAAGCUAUGGGUACGGCAGCAAUUCGACCACGGCAGGCUGCAGUAAGUGUCAGUUCUACAGCAAUGGAGGGCAUUCUGGGAAUGCCGGUGGUGGAGGCAGUGGGGGCGGUGGUGGCUCGUCCAGCUACAGCUCCUACUACCAAGGAGACCGCUACAGCUCACCAGUGCCCCCGAAACAUGCUGGGAAGAAGCCGCUGCAUGGGGGUCAGCAGAAACCCUCCUACAGCUCGGGUUACCAGUCCCACCAGGGCCAGCAGCAACCCUACAACCAGAGCCAGUGCAGCAGCUAUGGCAUGCAGCGGGGCAAGCAGAAAGGCUAAGGCCAUGGGCAGGGCAGCUAUUCCUCCUACUCCAACCCUACAGCUCCCCUGGUGGUGGUGGUGGGAAGGGCUCCGACUACAGCUAUGACAACAAAUUCAACUACAGUGGUAGUGGAGGCCGCAGUGGCAUGAACAGCUGUGGCUCCAGUGGGUCCUCCUACAACACGGGUUCACAUGGGGGUUACAGCGGAGGUUCUGGGGGCAGCUCUUCAUGCCAAGGCAAACCAGGAGGCUACUCAUCACAGUCGAACUACAGUUCCUCUGGGUCCAGCCAGAGCUACAGUGGCCCUUCCAGCUCCUACCAGUCCUCACAAGGUGGCUACAGUCGGAACACAGAGCACAGCAUGAACUACCAGUACAGAUAAAGGCCCAGGCUGCCCUCCCUC